CUUGAUUCAGCGGCGGACGGGUGAGUAAUGCCUAGGAAUCUGCCUGGUACUGGGGGACAACGUUUCGAAAGGAACGCUAAUACCGCAUACGUCCUACGGGAGAAAGCAGGGGACCUUCGGGCCUUGCGCUAUCAGAUGAGCCUAUGUCGGAUUACCUUGUUGGUGAGGUAAUGGCUCACCAAGGCCACCAUCCGUAACUGGUCUGAGAGGAUGAUCAUUCACACUGGAACUGACACACGGUCCAUACUCCUACGGGAGGCAUCAUUGGGGAAUAUUGGACAAUGGGCGAAAGCCUGAUCCAGCCAUGCCGCGUGUGUGAAGAAGGUCUUCUGAUUGUAAAGCACUUUAAGUUGGGAGGAAGGGCAGUAAGCUAAUACCUUGCUGUUUUGACGUUACCGACAUAAUAAGCACCGGCUAACUCUGUGCCAGCAACCGCGGUAAUACAGAGGGUGCAAGCGUUAAUCGGAAUUACUGGGCGUAAAGCGCGCGUACGUGGUUUGUUAAGUUGGAUGUGAAAGCCCCGGGCUCAACCUGGGAACUGCAUCCAAAACUGGCAAGCUAGAGUACGGUAGAGGGUGGUGGAAUUUCCUGUGUAGCGGUGAAAUGCGUAGAUAUAGGAAGGAACACCAGUGGCGAAACGACCACCUGGACUGAUACUGACACUGAGGUGCGAAAGCGUGGGGAGCAAACAGGAUUAGAUACACUGGUAGUCCACGCCGUAAACGAUGUCAACUAAACGUUGGAAUGCUU
This 750-nucleotide ribosomal RNA is filed under the name Pseudomonas sp. RS-A-4. RNAcentral describes it as "bacterial SSU rRNA". It matches the Rfam family "Bacterial small subunit ribosomal RNA", at positions 86 to 833 of the family's 1533-position model. The record is from RNAcentral. Lineage: Bacteria; Pseudomonadati; Pseudomonadota; Gammaproteobacteria; Pseudomonadales; Pseudomonadaceae.